CCCGUUAAAAAUGCCUAAAAGCUAUAAACUGAAGGGCGACCACCCUAGUGUCUUCGGUUGGGGCGACCAUGGGGAAAACAAAUCCCCCACGUGGACUAAGAGCACAAACCCCUUUCCUAUAACCCCACUCUUACAAACCAGAGCAACAGCUCCAAUUAACAGAAUUUCUGACCAAAAAUGAUCCGGCAGUGCCGAUCAACGAACCA
This 206-nucleotide ribosomal RNA is filed under the name Citharichthys sordidus (Pacific sanddab). RNAcentral describes it as "partial 16S ribosomal RNA". Lineage: Eukaryota; Metazoa; Chordata; Actinopteri; Pleuronectiformes; Cyclopsettidae. The record is from RNAcentral.